AAGCUCGUAGUUGAAUUUCGGGAUUUGUCGGUUGGUCGGGCUUCACUGUCCGCACUGGCCUGAUAGAUUCCUACCUUCUGAAUAACCAGCAUGCUAUUAAUUUAGUGCGUUGGGGAAGCAGAGCUAUUACCUUGAAAAAACUUAGAGUGCUUAAAGCAGGCUUAUGCUUGAAUAGAUUAGCAUGGAAUAAUAAAAUAGGACGGCUUGGUUCUAUUUUGUUGGUUUCUAGGAUCACCGUAAUGAUUAAUAGGGAUAGUUGGG
This 261-nucleotide ribosomal RNA is filed under the name uncultured Glomus. RNAcentral describes it as "partial 18S ribosomal RNA". It matches the Rfam family "Eukaryotic small subunit ribosomal RNA", at positions 624 to 886 of the family's 1831-position model. Lineage: Eukaryota; Fungi; Glomeromycota; Glomeromycetes; Glomerales; Glomeraceae. The record is from RNAcentral.